Molecule: ribosomal RNA, 400 nt
Filed under: Mesoscincus managuae (Managua skink)
Lineage: Eukaryota; Metazoa; Chordata; Lepidosauria; Squamata; Scincidae
Description: partial 12S ribosomal RNA
Rfam family: Bacterial small subunit ribosomal RNA
Source: RNAcentral
GCCUAGCCCUAAACAUUGGUGUUAUAAAUACAAUACCACCCGCCAGAGAACUACAAGCGAAAAUCUAGAAACUCCAAGGACUUGGCGGUGCUCCACACCAGCCUAGAGGAGCCUGUCCUAUAAUCGAUACUCCACGUUCAACCUUACCAUUUUUUGCCAAUCAGCCUAUAUACCGCCGUCGCAAGCCUACCUCAUGAGAGAACAACAGUAGGCAAGAUAGUUACCAACUAACACGUCAGGUCAAGGUGUAGCAUAUAAAAUGGCAGAGAUGGGCUACAUUUUUUAUCAUAAAAAAUACGAACAGCACAGUGAAACCUGUGUUCAAAGGCGGAUUUAGAAGUAAGACAGACAAGAAAGGCUGUCUAAAACCCGCUCUGGAGCGCGCACACACCGCCCGUCA